ACCCUCUCAGGAUGGCACCUGGAGAGUUUCCAGUACUCUACCAGUCUCGGCUAUGGGAGGCAAAGUCAAGCAGAGGCCUAUCCAUUCCAUUCCCAGCUUGGCCAGUGGCUAGCAAAUGGAAGGCAAUCUGCUACAAGU
This is a small nucleolar RNA of Tachyglossus aculeatus (Australian echidna), 138 nucleotides long. Lineage: Eukaryota; Metazoa; Chordata; Mammalia; Monotremata; Tachyglossidae. The record is from RefSeq and is a predicted model, not a curated record.